RNAcentral lists this ribosomal RNA (898 nucleotides) under Apiospora hysterina. RNAcentral describes it as "partial large subunit ribosomal RNA". It matches the Rfam family "Eukaryotic large subunit ribosomal RNA", at positions 41 to 964 of the family's 3401-position model. The record is from RNAcentral. Lineage: Eukaryota; Fungi; Ascomycota; Sordariomycetes; Amphisphaeriales; Apiosporaceae.
CAACAAUAAGCGGAGGAAAAGAAACCAACAGGGAUUCCCCUAGUAACGGCGAGUGAAGCGGGAACAGCUCAAAUUUGAAAUCUGGCCCUCGGGUCCGAGUUGUAAUUUGCAGAGGAUGCUUUUGGUGCGGUGCCUUCCGAGUUCCCUGGAACGGGACGCCUUAGAGGGUGAGAGCCCCGUACGGUUGGCCACCAAGCCUGUGUAAAGCUCCUUCGACGAGUCGAGUAGUUUGGGAAUGCUGCUCAAAACGGGAGGUAUAUUUCUUCUAAAGCUAAAUACUGGCCAGAGACCGAUAGCGCACAAGUAGAGUGAUCGAAAGAUGAAAAGCACUUUGAAAAGAGGGUUAAAUAGCACGUGAAAUUGUUGAAAGGGAAGGGUUUAUGACCAGACUUUUUCUAGGGGGAUCAUCCGGUGUUCUCACCGGUGCACUUCCCCUAGUUGAGGCCAGCAUCGGUUUCUGCCGGGGGAUAAAAGCUUCGGGAAUGUGGCUCCUUCGGGAGUGUUAUAGCCCGUUGUAUAAUACCCUGGCGGGGACCGAGGUUCGCGCAUUCGCAAGGAUGCUGGCGUAAUGGUUAUUAACCACCCGUCUUGAAACACGGACCAAGGAGUCGAACAUUUGUGCGAGUGUUUGGGUGUUAAACCCUCACGCGUAAUGAAAGUGAACGGAGGUGAGAGCCUUUAGGGGUGCAUCAUCGACCGAUCCUGAUGUCUUCGGAUGGAUUUGAGUAGGAGCAUCACUGUUCGGACCCGAAAGAUGGUGAACUAUGCGUGGAUAGGGUGAAGCCAGAGGAAACUCUGGUGGAGGCUCGCAGCGGUUCUGACGUGCAAAUCGAUCGUCAAAUCUGCGCAUGGGGGGCGAAAGACUAAUCGAACCAUCUAAGUAGCUGGGUACCGCGGU